This 368-nucleotide ribosomal RNA is filed under the name hydrocarbon metagenome. Its description in RNAcentral is "SSU rRNA". It matches the Rfam family "Bacterial small subunit ribosomal RNA", at positions 30 to 292 of the family's 1533-position model. The record is from RNAcentral.
CGAACGCUGGCGGCGUGCUUAACACAUGCAAGUCGAACGGUUCAAUACUCGACACUGAAUGUUUUAAAUCCAUUAAGGAAAGAGCAAAGAGAGCAUUACGCGAUCAAAAAAUGCUAACACAACAAGGAAAGUAAAAACAUUGAGUGUUGAGUAUUGGAUAGUGGCGGACGGGUGAGUAACGCGUGGGUAACCUACCUGUAAGCGGGGGAUAACAGUUGGAAACGACUGCUAAUACCGCAUAAGUUUCCUUAUUAAGUUGAGGAAGUAAAGAUGGCCUCUUAACAAUGCUGUCACUUACAGAUGGGCCCGCGUCUGAUUAGCUAGUUGGUGGGGUAAAGGCCUACCAAGGCGACGAUCAGUAGCCGGCC